Molecule: ribosomal RNA, 253 nt
Filed under: uncultured bacterium
Lineage: Bacteria
Description: partial 16S ribosomal RNA
Rfam family: Bacterial small subunit ribosomal RNA
Source: RNAcentral
UACGUAGGGUCCGAGCGUUGUCCGGAAUUACUGGGCGUAAAGAGCUCGUAGGUGGUUUGUCGCGUUGUUCGUGAAAACUCACAGCUCAACUGUGGGCGUGCGGGCGAUACGGGCAGACUAGAGUACUGCAGGGGAGACUGGAAUUCCUGGUGUAGCGGUGGAAUGCGCAGAUAUCAGGAGGAACACCGGUGGCGAAGGCGAGUCUCUGGGCAGUAACUGACGCUGAGGAGCGAAAGCGUGGGGAGCAAACAGG